AGGACGAACGCUGGCGGCGUGCCUAACACAUGCAAGUCGAACGGGGGUAGCAAUACCCCAGUGGCGAACGGGUGCGUAACACGUGAGGAACAUUCCUUCCGGUGGGGGAUAGCCGGCCUAACGGCCGGGUAAUACCGCAUACGCUGUCCGGGGUGCAUACCCUGGAUCGGAAAGCAGCAAUGCGCCGGAAAGGUGCCUCGCGGCCUAUCAGCUAGUUGGUGAGGUAAUGGCUCACCAAGGCGACGACGGGUAGC
RNAcentral lists this ribosomal RNA (254 nucleotides) under uncultured bacterium. RNAcentral describes it as "partial small subunit ribosomal RNA". It matches the Rfam family "Bacterial small subunit ribosomal RNA", at positions 26 to 287 of the family's 1533-position model. The record is from RNAcentral.